RNAcentral lists this ribosomal RNA (612 nucleotides) under Hemisphaericaspora elongata. RNAcentral's name for it is "Spathaspora elongata partial large subunit ribosomal RNA". It matches the Rfam family "Eukaryotic large subunit ribosomal RNA", at positions 36 to 667 of the family's 3401-position model. The record is from RNAcentral. Lineage: Eukaryota; Fungi; Ascomycota; Pichiomycetes; Serinales; Debaryomycetaceae.
UUGCAUCUCAAUAAGCGGAGGAAAAGAAACCAACAGGGAUUGCCUUAGUAGCGGCGAGUGAGCGGCAAAGCUCAAAUUUGAAAUCUGGCGUAUUCUGCGUCCGAGUUGUAAUUUGAAGAAGGAUACUUUGGGGUUGGCUCUUGUCUAUGUUUCUUGGAACAGAACGUCACAGAGGGUGAGAAUCCCGUGCGAUGAGAAGCCCAAUUCCGUGUAAAGUGCCUUCGAAGAGUCGAGUUGUUUGGGAAUGCAGCUCUAAGUGGGUGGUAAAUUCCAUCUAAAGCUAAAUAUUGGCGAGAGACCGAUAGCGAACAAGUACAGUGAUGGAAAGAUGAAAAGAACUUUGAAAAGAGAGUGAAAAAGUACGUGAAAUUGUUGAAAGGGAAGGGCUUGAGAUCAGACUUGGUAUUUUGUAUGUCUUGCUUUCGGGUGGGGCCUCUGCAGUUUACUGGGCCAGCAUCGGUUCGGGUGGUAGGACAAUUGCGAAGGAACGUGGCACUGCUUCGGUGGUGUGUUAUAGCCUUUGUGGAUACUGCCUGUCUGGACCGAGGACUGCGUCAUUUGACUAGGAUGCUGGCAUAAUGAUCUUAAGUCGCCCGUCUUGAAACACGGACA